CAAGAGCGUAUGUAAAAGUUGUUGCAGUUAAAAAGCUCGUAGUUGAACCUUGGGUUUGGUUGGCCGGUCCGCUUUUUUGCGAGUACUGGAUUCAACCGAGCCUUUCCUUCUGGCUAACCAGUCGUUUCGGCGGCUGGCGGACCAGGAUUUUUACUUUGAGAAAAUUAGAGUGUUCAAAGCAGGCAUUAGCUUGAAUAUAUUAGCAUGGAAUAAUAGAAUAGGACGUUAUGGUUCUAUUUUGUUGGUUUCUAGGACCAUCGUAAUGAUUAAUAGGGACGGUCGGGGGCAUCAGUAUUCAGUUGUCAGAGGUGAAAUUCUUGGAUUUACUGAAGACUAACUACUGCGAAAGCAUUUGCCAAGGACGUUUUCAUUAA
Molecule: ribosomal RNA, 374 nt
Filed under: uncultured eukaryote
Lineage: Eukaryota
Description: partial 18S ribosomal RNA
Rfam family: Eukaryotic small subunit ribosomal RNA
Source: RNAcentral